RNAcentral lists this ribosomal RNA (943 nucleotides) under Sordariomycetes sp. genotype 54. Its description in RNAcentral is "eukaryotic LSU rRNA". The stretch from base 448 to 943 matches the Rfam family "Eukaryotic large subunit ribosomal RNA", at positions 1 to 509 of the family's 3401-position model. Lineage: Eukaryota; Fungi; Ascomycota; Sordariomycetes. The record is from RNAcentral.
AAGUUGCUUCGGCGGCGCGGCACCCCUUMACGGGGGCGCCGCAGCCCUGCCUCUCCGGAGGUUCGGGGCGCCCGCCGGAGGUACGAAACUCUGUAUUAUAGUGGCAUCUCUGAGUAUAAAACAAAUAAGUUAAAACUUUCAACAACGGAUCUCUUGGUUCUGGCAUCGAUGAAGAACGCAGCGAAAUGCGAUAAGUAAUGUGAAUUGCAGAAUUCAGUGAAUCAUCGAAUCUUUGAACGCACAUUGCGCCCGGUAGUACUCUACCGGGCAUGCCUGUUCGAGCGUCAUUUCAACCCUCAAGCCCUGCUUGGUGUUGGGGCCCUACGGCUGCCGUAGGCCCUGAAAGGAAGUGGCGGGCUCGCUACAACUCCGAGCGUAGUAAUUCAUUAUCUCGCUAGGGAGGUUGCGGCGUGCUCCUGCCGUUAAAGACCCAUCUUUAACCAAGGUUGACCUCGGAUCAGGUAGGAAUACCCGCUGAACUUAAGCAUAUCAAUAAGCGGAGGAAAAGAAACCAACAGGGAUUGCCCUAGUAACGGCGAGUGAAGCGGCAACAGCUCAAAUUUGAAAUCUGGCUUCGGCCCGAGUUGUAAUUUGUAGAGGAUGCUUUUGGUGAGGUGCCUUCUGAGUUCCCUGGAACGGGACGCCAGAGAGGGUGAGAGCCCCGUAUAGUCGGCCACCGAUCCUUUGUAAAGCUCCUUCGACGAGUCGAGUAGUUUGGGAAUGCUGCUCAAAAUGGGAGGUAUAUCUCUUCUAAAGCUAAAUAUAGGCCAGAGACCGAUAGCGCACAAGUAGAGUGAUCGAAAGAUGAAAAGCACUUUGAAAAGAGGGUUAAAUAGCACGUGAAAUUGUUGAAAGGGAAGCGCUUGUGACCAGACUUGUGCCGGGCUGAUCAUCCAGUGUUCUCACUGGUGCACUCGACCCGGCUCAGGCCAGCGUCGGUUUU